RNAcentral lists this ribosomal RNA (890 nucleotides) under uncultured bacterium. RNAcentral describes it as "bacterial SSU rRNA". It matches the Rfam family "Bacterial small subunit ribosomal RNA", at positions 9 to 873 of the family's 1533-position model. The record is from RNAcentral.
AGAGUUUNGAUCCUGGCUCAGGAUGAANCGCUAGCGGCAGGCCUAACACAUGCAAGUCGAGGGGCAGCACAAAUAAAGCUUGCUUUAUUGGUGGCGANCCGGCGCACNGGGUGAGUAACGCGUAUGCAACCUACCUUAUACUGGAAGAUAGCCCGAAGAAAUUCGGAUUAAUACUCCAUAGUAUUAUAGAUAAGCAUUUAUUUAUAAUUAAAGCUCAGGCGGUAUAAGAUGGGCAUGCGUCCUAUUAGCUAGAUGGUAAGGUAACGGCUUACCAUGGCUUCGAUAGGUAGGGGGUCUGAGAGGAUGGUCCCCCACACUGGUACUGAGACACGGACCAGACUCCUACGGGAGGCAGCAGUGAGGAAUAUUGGUCAAUGGGCGCAAGCCUGAACCAGCCAUGCCGCGUGAAGGAUGAAGGUUCUAUGGAUUGUAAACUUCUUUUAUUUGGGAAUAAACCUCUUUACGUGUAAAGAGCUGAAGGUACCAAACGAAUAAGCACCGGCUAACUCCGUGCCAGCAGCCGCGGUAAUACGGAGGGUGCAAGCGUUAUCCGGAAUCAUUGGGUUUAAAGGGUCCGCAGGCGGACUUAUAAGUCAGUGGUGAAAUCUCACAGCUCAACUGUGAAACUGCCAUUGAUACUGUAAGUCUUGAAUUCGGUCGAAGUGGGCGGAAUAUGACAUGUAGCGGUGAAAUGCUUAGAUAUGUCCUAGAACACCGAUAGCGAAGGCAGCUCACUAGGCCUGGAUUGACGCUCAGGGACGAAAGGCGUGGGGAGCAAACCAGGAUUAGAUACCCCUGGUAGUCCACGCCGUAAACUAUCAAUACUCGAUAUUGGCGAUAUACCAGUCCAGUGUCUAAGCGAAAGUGAUAAGUAUGCACCUGGAGGGUGA